This 253-nucleotide ribosomal RNA is filed under the name uncultured bacterium. RNAcentral describes it as "partial 16S ribosomal RNA". It matches the Rfam family "Bacterial small subunit ribosomal RNA", at positions 524 to 776 of the family's 1533-position model. The record is from RNAcentral.
UACGUAGGGUGCAAGCGUUGUCCGGAAUUAUUGGGCGUAAAGAGCUCGUAGGCGGUUUGUCGCGUCGAAUGUGAAAACCCGGGGCUCAACCCCGGGCCUGCAUUCGAUACGGGCAGACUAGAGUUCGGUAGGGGAGUCUGGAAUUCCUGGUGUAGCGGUGAAAUGCGCAGAUAUCAGGAGGAACACCGGUGGCGAAGGCGGUUCUCUGGGCCUUACCUGACGCUGAGGAGCGAAAGCAUGGGGAGCGAACAGG